AUGCCUCCCGGGGACGGUGCUCGGCCUCCUCCCGGUGCUCGGCCCCCGUCCCCAGGCCUCCAGGAGGGAGCGAAGCCGCCCGGAGCCUCGGGGACCUCCUGCGGCCCUGGAGCCCGAUGCCAUCGCCGCCGCCUCGCGCUGAGCCUCUCGCGGCCGACCCACCGAGUGCCCCCUGGCCACAGCUCGCUGCCCGCGCCUGAGCUGCCCCCGCCGCAGCCCUGCCCAGCCCGCACCGCAUCGCCCCGCGCCCGGGGCCCGCUGCCAGGCAGGUGUCAGGAGGGGUCCGGCCUGGGGAAACUGAGGCACGGCGCAGGGAGCAGCAGGGCCAGGCACCGGGCUCGGUACCCCGCUGGGAAGCUUGGUUGGGGGGCCCUCUGUUUCCCCACAGGGCAGUGAUGUUGGUGCCCUCCCUGCCCAAGCACGGGGGGGAUCUUGGGGUGCCUCAUCCCCUCUGUCACUGCCCCAAGGGGUGGAUUUAAAGCCCUGAGGACAGCAAACGGGGACAGAGGAGGGGCUGUGCUGCUGGGGGUUUUGUCUGCGUUUCACGCUCCUCACCCCAGCGAGGGGCUGCCUCGCCCCCCCCCGACCUUCCCAGGAGCUGGGGGCACGGGGAGCACCGGGGCUUCUGCACCCGGGGCUGGGGCAGCGAAAGCACUGGGCUGUGGCUGGGGGGGGCCCGGCUGUCCCCGCCUGCCCCCCCGCGGAGCUCGCCUCCUUCCCUGCCUGCUGCCAUGAAUUAUUUGUGUGGCCGCGGCUCCCGGAUGAGGCUGCGCCGCUGCCCGCGGGUGGGAUGGGGCGAGCUGCCCCCGCUGCCCCCUGGCCGGCUCCGGGCAUGAUCUCCUCGCUCCCCGUGGGCUGGGCCGCACGCAGGGCUCCCGUUAAUUGCGUGCCUCGAAAUAACGACCAGCUCGGCGGGGACAGCACUGCCAGCAGCCUGGUCCCCGCUGAGUGCAGGGGGGCAUCGGGCAGCAGAGCCUUGCGGGAGCCUCUUUGGCCCCAGCACCCUGCUCACNNNNNNNNNNGCUGGCCCCAGGCUCUGGCCGUGGCUGGGGGGGGGCCCAGCUGUCCCCGCCUGCCCCCCCGCGGAGCUCGCCUCCUUCCCUGCCUGCUGCCAUGAAUUAUUUGUGUGGCCGCGGCUCCCGGAUGAGGCUGCGCCGCUGCCCGCGGGUGGGAUGGGGCGAGCUGCCCCCGCUGCCCCCUGGCCGGCUCCGGGUGUGAUCUCCUCGCUCCCCGCGGGCUGGGUGGCUGCUGCGCCGCACACAGGGCUCCCGUUAAUUGUGUGCCUCGAAAUAGCGACCAGCUCGGUGGGGACAGCACUGCCAGCAGCCUGGCCCCUGGUGAGUGCAGGGGGGCAUCGGGCAGCAGAGCCUUGCGGGAGCCUCUUUGGCCCCAGCACCCUGCUCACAGGUGGCUUUGUGACCAUCGUUCUGGGGACAAACCCUGCCGUGCCGGGGCUGUGAGCACGCCGGGCAGGAUGAGGCCUCGCUGGGGCUGUGCUGAGCCAGGUAGCUCCUGGGGGUGAGCGGCAGUGCCGGUAUAUAGGGCACCGCGCGGGCUCCGUGCCGCGUGGGAGGGCGGAAAGCAGCUCGCGUGCGUUGCGGGGUGGGAGUCGGCGGCACCGGCCGCUAUUUCUGGCACUCGCUCCCUGGGGGACGUUGGGAAAGUCACCGCGUCCCCCUGGGGCUGCUCCGCCGGGAUGCUCUCUGCCGUCCCCUGCUCCUCCCCAGCAUCUUGGGGGGCUGCUCCCCUGCUGCUCCCCCCUUUCUGUGGGUUGGAGAGGUGACGUGUGCCCUGUGUCCCCUCCGGCCUGCCCGGUGGCCCCACAGCUCCGAGGGCUCCAGAGCUGCUGUGGCCGCUUCUGUCCCCGUCUCACCCCGGGGUGCUCGCGUCCCCCCA
This 1896-nucleotide long non-coding RNA is filed under the name Anas zonorhyncha (Eastern spot-billed duck). RNAcentral's name for it is "lncRNA (ENSAZOG00000016761.1)". The record is from RNAcentral. Lineage: Eukaryota; Metazoa; Chordata; Aves; Anseriformes; Anatidae.